UGCGUCGGCCGGGAGUCGAACCCUGGCAACUGCUUGGAAGGCAGCUAACCGUUAUACCACCGACGC
Non-coding RNA from Araneus ventricosus, 66 nucleotides. The record is from the annotation of a GenBank genome assembly. NCBI's taxonomy places the organism in Eukaryota, Metazoa, Arthropoda, Arachnida, Araneae, Araneidae.